This 291-nucleotide long non-coding RNA is filed under the name Sarcophilus harrisii (Tasmanian devil). RNAcentral's name for it is "lncRNA (ENSSHAG00000028376.1)". Lineage: Eukaryota; Metazoa; Chordata; Mammalia; Dasyuromorphia; Dasyuridae. The record is from RNAcentral.
UCUCGGCUGGGCACCUGCUCCCCAGGAGGCCGCGGCUGGAGGAAGCCCCGUCGUCCUCACGCUCUCAGGAGUCGGCCAGGUGCCGGUGUCCCCGGCACAGCUUCCACUUCUUCCAAAGGACUCCCAGCCCUGAGGAAAGGGUUCUGACAGAUUCUCCAGAACUGGAGGGUAUUUUGAUGGGUGAGAUUUUUGAUAUCUCUGCUCCAGGUCACUCUCUUAAGAGAGAAAGGAGGAUUUUCCCCACCUGAGAGUUCCCUGUACCAAUGAAAUCAUCCUCUGUUCUAGGAAAAG